This 533-nucleotide ribosomal RNA is filed under the name Angaracris rhodopa. RNAcentral's name for it is "16S ribosomal RNA". It matches the Rfam family "Archaeal large subunit ribosomal RNA", at positions 1893 to 2677 of the family's 2987-position model. The record is from RNAcentral. Lineage: Eukaryota; Metazoa; Arthropoda; Insecta; Orthoptera; Acrididae.
UGUUUAACAAAAACAUGGCUUCUUGAUAAUAUUUUUAAGUCUGACCUGCUCACUGAAUAAAUUUAAAGAGCCGCGGUAUUUUGACCGUGCAAAGGUAGCAUAAUCAUUAGUUUCUUAAUUAGAGGCUUGAAUGAAUGGUUUGACGAGAAAUUAACUGUCUCUUAAUAAAUUUUAUAAUUUAACUUUUAAGUUAAAAGGCUUAAAUACUUCUUUAGGACGAGAAGACCCUAUAGAGCUUGAUAUUUAUAAGUUUUAUAUUAUUUUAGGUUAUCUUUUUAUGUAAUUUUUUAUUAUUUGGUUGGGGUGACAUGAAGAAUAAUUAAACUCUUCAUUAUUAAAUCAUUGAUUUAUGUUCAUUUGAUCCAUAAUUUAUGAUCAUAAGAUUAAGUUACCUUAGGGAUAACAGCGUAAUCAUUUUUGAGAGUUCAUAUUGACAAAAUGGAUUGCGACCUCGAUGUUGGAUUAAGAUUAAUUUUAGGUGUAGUAGCUUAAUAAUUAGGUCUGUUCGACCUUUAAAUUCUUACGUGAUCUGA